UACGGAGGGUGCGAGCGUUAAUCGGAAUUACUGGGCGUAAAGGGUGCGUAGGUGGUUUGAUAAGUUAUCUGUAAAAGCCCUGGGCUCAACCUGGGAAGGCCAGAUAAAACUGUUGAACUGGAGUAUGGGAGAGGGUAGUGGAAUUUCCGGUGUAGCGGUGAAAUGCGUAGAGAUCGGAAGGAACACCAGUGGCGAAGGCGGCUACCUGGCCUGAUACUGACACUGAAGCACGAAAGCGUGGGGAGCAAACAGG
This 253-nucleotide ribosomal RNA is filed under the name uncultured bacterium. Its description in RNAcentral is "partial 16S ribosomal RNA". It matches the Rfam family "Bacterial small subunit ribosomal RNA", at positions 524 to 776 of the family's 1533-position model. RNAcentral also lists the same sequence under 1 other name. The record is from RNAcentral.